Molecule: ribosomal RNA, 448 nt
Filed under: uncultured bacterium
Lineage: Bacteria
Description: SSU rRNA
Rfam family: Bacterial small subunit ribosomal RNA
Source: RNAcentral
AGAGCGAACGCUGGCGGCAGGCCUAACACAUGCAAGUCGAGCGCCCGUAGCAAUACGGGAGCGGCAGACGGGAUAGUAACACGUGGGAACGCGCCCUUCGGUUCGGAAUAACUCAGGGAAACUUAAGCUAAUACCGAAUACGCCCUUACGGGGAAAGAUUUAUUGCCGAAGGAACGGCCCGCGUCCGAUUAGCUAGUUGGUGAGGUAAUGGCUCACCAAGGCUACGAUCGGUAGCUGGUCUGAGAGGAUGACCAGCAUCACUGGGACUGAGACACGGCCCAGACUCCUACGGGAGGCAGCAGUGGGGAAUAUUGGACAAUGGGCGCAAGCCUGAUCCAGCCAUGCCGCGUGGAUGAUGAAGGCCUUAGGGUUGUAAAGUCCUUUUAACGGGGAAGAUAAUGACGGUACCCGUAGAAUAAGCCCCGGCUAACUUCGUGCCAGCAGCCGC